AACGAACGCUGGCGGCGUGCCUAACACAUGCAAGUCGAACGAGAAAGGGGCUUCGGCUCCGAGUAAAGUGGCGCACGGGUGAGUAACACGUGGGUAACCUGCCUCUAAGAUUGGGAUAACUCGUCGAAAGAUGAGCUAAUACCGAAUAAGACCACAGUUCCCGCGGGAACAGGGGUCAAAGGUAGCCUCUGCUUGCAAGCUAUCACUUAGAGAUGGGCCUGCGCACCAUUAGCUAGUUGGUAGGGUAACGGCCUACCAAGGCAAAGAUGGUUAGCUGGUCUGAGAGGAUGAUCAGCCACACUGGAACUGAGACACGGUCCAGACUCCUACGGGAGGCAGCAGUGGGGAAUAGUGCGCAAUGGGCGAAAGCUUGACGCAGCAACGCCGCGUGAGUGAUGAAGGCCUUCGGGUCGUAAAGCUCUGUCGGGGGGAACGAAUGCUCCUGAGGUUAACAGCCUCGGGAGGUGACGGUACCUUCAAAGGAAGCACCGGCUAACUCUGUG
RNAcentral lists this ribosomal RNA (503 nucleotides) under uncultured bacterium. RNAcentral describes it as "partial 16S ribosomal RNA". It matches the Rfam family "Bacterial small subunit ribosomal RNA", at positions 29 to 507 of the family's 1533-position model. The record is from RNAcentral.